This 440-nucleotide ribosomal RNA is filed under the name uncultured bacterium. RNAcentral's name for it is "partial 16S ribosomal RNA". It matches the Rfam family "Bacterial small subunit ribosomal RNA", at positions 338 to 795 of the family's 1533-position model. The record is from RNAcentral.
CCUACGGGUGGCAGCAGUGAGGAAUCUUGCUCAAUGGUCGGGAGACUGACGCAGCGACGCCGCGUGAGUGAUGAAGGAUCUCGGAAUGUAAAGCUCUAUCAGUAGGGAAGAAAAUGUCUGUAACUGACUAAGAAGACCCGGCUAACUACGUGCCAGCAGCCGAGGUAAUACGUAGGGGGCAAGCGUUAUCCGGAUUUACUGGGUGGAAAGGGAGCGUAGACGGGUAUGCAAGACCGGAGUGAAAGCCCAUGGCUUAACCAUGGAACUGAUCUGGAAACUGUGACGCUGGAGUGCAGGAGAGGAAAGCGGAAUUCCUGGUGUAGCGGUGAAAUGCGUAGAGAUUAGGAGGAACACCAGUGGCGAAGGCGACCUGCUGGACCGUAACUGACGUUGAUGCUCGAAAGCGUGGGGAGCAAACAGGAUUAGAUACCCGUGUAGUC